Pelodiscus sinensis (Chinese soft-shelled turtle) is the source of this 186-nucleotide non-coding RNA. The record is from Rfam. NCBI's taxonomy places the organism in Eukaryota, Metazoa, Chordata, Testudines, Trionychidae.
UUCUGUUCCUGCUUCUAUAUUAACAUGAACAAAUUGCUUUGAUAAAAUUGUAAUAUCUGAUAUGAUCUUUAUCUGAGAUCUUUAUAUUAAAUGGAUUUUGGAGCAGGGGGUCGGAACAGGAGCAUGCUCCGUCCACUCCACGCAUCGACUUGGUAUUGCAGUACUUCCAGGAGCGGGAAAAAAAAU